GGUUCAGCUGCCUCUCCUUAGAAAAACAAUCUGCAGCUGGCUGGUAUGAGACACCCUAAAUUUUCCCAGCUCAGAGCAUCCCAGAAACCUAUGCAAAAUUUCCUCCACAAUUAUCUCUGGCUGAACCAUUUUGCUUUGGCUAACCUUACCUGUUUUGGGCAGACUGAAUCUUCAAAAAAGUAGCAGUGAAUGUACCAGACAGGCUUCCUUAAGCAGCAUCCCUUUUAACACUUAUUUCAUCUCACUGCAAACAGAACCUUUGUACCUUGGAUAAAUUCAAUAACUGUAACUCAUUCGCCAGCCCAUACUAUGCUGUCUAUUGUUUCAUCUUGCUUAUUAAAAAUCAGCACAAGCUAUUUGAUGAGUGGUGGAGACAUUGAUUCCAAGCUAUCCAAACUCUGGCAAAGUGGAGAACGGAGUGCUGGAAGCCUGAAAGAAGCUGUCAUUAUCAUUAGAGCCUGACACACGUCAAUCGAAGCCUCCUUUUUAAGCAUGAGCAAGCACUUCCUUUGUCAUCUCUUCCACCGGUGACCUGCUGGAGGCAGCUUUCAGAAACAAUGCAGACACCUUUCAACUUUCUGUUUAUUAUUUAUCCAAUGGGGAGAGCAGCUAAGAACUACCACCUUCUGCUUUCAUUAAAAGGAUUGCUUUUU
Molecule: long non-coding RNA, 653 nt
Organism: Rhineura floridana
Lineage: Eukaryota; Metazoa; Chordata; Lepidosauria; Squamata; Rhineuridae
Exons: 2
Source: RefSeq, a predicted model, not a curated record